Amphiprion ocellaris (clown anemonefish) is the source of this 3433-nucleotide long non-coding RNA. RefSeq lists it as uncharacterized. The record is from RefSeq and is a predicted model, not a curated record. Lineage: Eukaryota; Metazoa; Chordata; Actinopteri; Pomacentridae. The transcript has 3 exons.
GUUAACCUAAAAGGAGCCACUUGAAUUAGUCUGUAAUGAGGAAGGAAGUGACAGUAGCAUCAAUUUAAAUACCCGGAUGUAGCGGCUGACAGACUGCGCUCAGGCUGAGAGCUGCGCCUGUACUGAAGUGUCCCAUUAAGUUUGCUGAAGUGGACUUAUCUCCUACCAUCCCCUCUUGUAUCUCACUCAUUCCUGGAUCCAGACAGGGCUGAGUGCCACACUCCUGCUGCCCUCCUCACACCAGAGAGGCCUCUCUCUUCUGGACUUCAGUCCUGCACUCAGACCUCCUCAACCAAACAUUGUCCUUACAGUUGGCUGCACGAUGCUGAAGGAAUCGUCAUCAGACCUCCAGGGACCUUAUAAAUGAGUGGACACUGUGGAGAAAUGUGACUUGUUCAGCAAGGAUAGUUUGAAAGCGACUUGUUGAAGCUGGUCUGAAGUCACACAGGGCAGGAAGAAGCCCUUCAUCAAGGAAAGGCAGAGGAAAACCUGGUUGCUCUUUGCUGGGAUCACAAGGAUUGGACUGUUGAUGAUUGGGCUAAGGUUCUCUUCAGUGAUGAAUCCAAUUUUCAGUUGAUGCCCACUCCAGCCUGGAGAAGCUACAAACCAGAAUGUCUGCCCACACAGUAAAACAUGGGGGUGCAUCAGUGACCAUCUGGGGUUGUUUCAGUCUGGGUGGAACAGGGCAAAUGAACCAGGUCAUGCACAGGGCUACUCUUGAAAACAGUCUUCCAUCAGCUGAAAACUCUUUCCUGCCUCCAAUGACUGGAUUUUCCAGCAAGACAAUGCCCCUUGCCACACAGCAAGGUCAGUUAAAGCCUGGAUGGAUAACCAGAACAUUGGAACCAUGCCUUGGCUGCUCAAUCACCAGAUCUAAAUCCAAUUUAACCUGUGGAAAAUCAUCAAACACAUAAUGGAGAACCACAAGCCCGAAAACAAAGCAAAUUUGUUAGAAUUUGUGCAACAGGAAUGGGCUGCUGUGACAGCAGAACAAUGUCAGAAGCUGGUGGAGAGCAGCCAAGAUGCAUGGCUGCAGUCAUCAGAAACAAUGGUUAUGAAUCAGUACUAACUCUUGUGUGUAUCAUGAGACUAAAACAGACAGAAAAGAAAACAUGGACCUGAAAGCAUUGUUUUUGGCAGUACAAUGCCACAGCUAUUGAUGUAAGAACUUAAGUGAUUUUGGUUAUUUUCAAGAAAAGCAUGGAAAAUGUCUAGAUAUCAGCUCUUAAAUGAAACUCUUAUGAGCUAUUAUUGUUGUUAUCAUUAUACUGGUCCAAACCAGUUUACCUUUAGUUGUACCAGGCAUUAAAAUGAACAAGAAAUUGAAGAAAACAAAGGCGGUCUAAUAAUUUUUUCCCUGACUGUAUGUAUAACAUAAUAUUGUCAGGUGGUGAAAGGGUGGCGCUGCUUAGAGACAAAACUCUGAACAUGAUGUCCCCCAAAGCAGACUAGUUGUGCAUCGUAAGCUGCCAUGAUGACCGAGCAGGUAGAGAGUCUGUUCAUGACACUGCAAACCCUGGCGUUAGACUCAACAUACCUCACUAACCCAUUAGUCACACUUUAAAGUACACUCUACAAGAGUAGGACUCUUUUCAGGCAUACCCAGAUUUUUUUAAACUCCUUUACUUUCCCUUUCCUAGUCUAAACUAUAUGGUUUGAGAGUAUGUUGCAGCAGCUGGAUAGUCACAUCCAGGGCGGUUAUACUGUCAGAAUCCCCCCCCCGCGCCCCGCCCCAAGUAAUAGAGAACACAAACGUCCCUUCAGCAUCACCUUUUCAUACAGCUCCAUCAGAUAACAUGUCCCCCGUGCUGUUGUUGUUGUUGUAUGCGGUUUGGCUCUCCGUGUGGUAAACAGCUGUUGGUGUGUGCUGUAGUGUCUGAUAAACACAUUAGACUGUUGUUUAUUCUCCUCUAAACUAUCCUAGUUCAAACCCUUGACAGAUAGGGAGCUCCAAGCCAAUAAUGAAGAUGUGAGCCUCACUAUAGUACUGUGUGAGUGAAAAUAAAGUCAUGCUACCCACACGUAUUGAAAGAAAAGAUGCACAAAAUGCCUUCAAGUUCUCCACUCAUCUUUACCAUCAUCAAAUCAUCUAUCAUGAAGACCCUAUAAAUAGAUUUUUUUGGAGCUAGGCUUAAUGUUUACAGAUAGUAUGAAGAGAGGAGCUGGUUGGUCAGUAAAUUUGCGUGUCUCUAUGGGAAAUGGGGCAUUGCAACAUACGAGUGAUUUGUACUGGAAUACUGUUUGCAUGCACAUAGCAGACAAUGAUGUUUGCACGCUUAGUUUAUGAUAUAUAUACAUACAUGUGUUCCAUGUGUGAUCUAUAACGUACACCAACUACAGUGAGGGUUAUGCUGCUGCCUGCCUCCACGCUGUCUGCGUGAGAAGGGCAGUUUUUAAUUCUGAGGUGGAUCAAAACACUGUCAGUAGUUGGCUAUAGUUACUGGAGGAAGAUGUGGACAUAGUAGGACUUUGCCAAAACAAGGUGUGGUCUUCCCCUGCCUCUCUGGCUGACUGGGUAUAAUUAAAAUACCACAAUUCUUUCAGGCAUUGGGACAUCAGUGCAAUACAACAGUUUCCCUUUCCCUCCUGGGCCUUUAUCAGUACUGACGCAGAUGCUUCUGCUGCAUUUUUGUGUGUUCACAUGAUUAUGUUGUCUGGUCUAUGUCUUCUUUACAUGUUUCUCUGCAUUAUUUACAAUCUAAUUUGUUGUAUAUUUUUUAUUUGAAGUAUCUAGUUGAACCGUAGGUCAGAUUUUCAUAAUGAAAGGUCAAAUCUCCAUUUACCGAAGUCGAGAUAUUAACAGUAACAGUAAACUAUCUCAUCUGUUGAUGUGGAAUAGAAUAAAAUUCUAGAUAUAUGAGAUCAGGCUCCAGAUUUAGGUCUUGCAGCAUUAGUAUUAAUGCUGGGUUAAGCUCGUGUGAAAGCUCUAUUAUACUUGAUUGAAUUAUCUCCUCACACAGAGUGGGAGGCCAGAGCAUAAACAAGUCACUCUGAGCAGAGAGAGGGACGGAUGAGUUUCCUUCUCUUGUUUUUGUUACACCAGCACUUUAUUGUAAAGCUGAAAUGAUAUUGUUCCCGUGGCAGCUCUGUGUAAAUGUUUUUGCGCACAGUAUUCCUCCAUUUCAUGCCGAGCGCUUGCUCUGUUUACCACUGUUUACGGAGCGACUGAGGCUACUGUACUGUGUCCUUGCUCGCGAUCAGCUGUCUCAGUGCUGGUAUGAAGUAAAACUUAGUCUAGGGAAGAUUGUUGCUGCUGCACUUGGCUGUAUAUGUAAAGUUUUUAUAAUUCUUGGCCAACUUAUGUGCCAAGCGGAGCAUACACUGCAUGCUAAGAAGAUGAACAGGGAAAUGAACACUGGAGAAAAGCUGCACCUCAAAAUACAAACAGAGCAGUCUCUCACAUUCCACAUGGAGAGUGUUUGUUUGUGCGGUG